GGGCAGGAGAGCCAGGAAGAGCUGAACUAUGAGGAUUGCUCUCUGGGCAGCUGAGUGGAGGAGGAGGAGAUCCCCAGGACGCCCGGAGGCUUGGGCUCCAAAGCAUUCAGGAGGAUUCUGUCGAACACCAGAAGAUUCCACAGACUGCACAUGGAUUCCACAGAACACAUGGACGCUCCACUCCUGCAGAACUCGGGAGGAUUCCAUGCAUAUAGAAGUCGCAUGUAAACAGGAGGGAAGGCGUGUUGACCGUCCCACCUCCCUGCUCCCGCUGCAGAGCGGUCUCGGCUUUGGCCCGCAGCCUCGGCCCUGGCUGGCUUCUCUAGCUGAGAUCUCACACCCUUUCCUGCUAUUGGUGCUGAAGAUUCCCCCCACCUCAUCCUGUGGAGCCGCUCAUCAACUCCUGCAGCUUCCUCCUCCUCCCCUUCCCUCCUCCCCUUCCCCAAAUCAUUCUUAUGCUCUGUCUGUGGUCCCAUUUCCAUGGCAACCCAUUGUGAUGUCAGAGGAGAGCGGGUAG
RNAcentral lists this long non-coding RNA (517 nucleotides) under Phascolarctos cinereus (koala). RNAcentral describes it as "lncRNA (ENSPCIG00000035669.1)". The record is from RNAcentral. Lineage: Eukaryota; Metazoa; Chordata; Mammalia; Diprotodontia; Phascolarctidae.